ACAAGAGGGAUGAUUGAUAGCCAGGGAGGUGCGCGCUGUGGCCCAGCGCACAGACAGGAGGCUCUCCGUGCCUGUGCACGAGGCGGAAGUGGGGCGCUCCUGCUGCACUGGCCGCCGGAGUAGGGGGCGAGCUCGGCGGUGACGUGAGGUGCUCACGUGACCGCGAGCUGCAGAGCGACGCAGCCUUCGCUGCAGUCGUCACUCCUGUCUGGGUACCAGCUCCCCGCUCCCCUGCGCACGGCGGGCUGGCAUCGGGCCCGCGGCGAGCGGAGCAGGUCUGCCGAACUAAGUGUGGCGGCGGCGCAUUCGUGGCGAGGAUCGGAAGGAGCAAGAGACAGCGAGGAUAGGCCCAGCAAACUUGGCUGUCUAUUGAAGAAACUUAAAAAAGGUCACCUUUGUGACCAGAGCCAGCAUUGCACUUUGAACAUCACUGAGCAGGAAACCCGAGACAGAGAAGUAAGGUUAAUCUUAAUGGUGGAACAUAUUUUGACCUGCUGAGAUUAAGGUAAGUUUGAGACAUUCAGGAGAGUUCCAUUAAAGUUCAGAUAAAAAUCUACAGGGCCAAAGAGUAGUUUGGGCUAGAUAUAUGAAAUUGUAGUGACAAAUGCAGAAAUGAAUAGGAUCUGCCAAAGAGAACAAAGAGACUGGAAAAAGAGAGGACUCGUAAUAUUCAGGGA
RNAcentral lists this long non-coding RNA (677 nucleotides) under Moschus moschiferus (Siberian musk deer). RNAcentral describes it as "lncRNA (ENSMMSG00000001381.1)". Lineage: Eukaryota; Metazoa; Chordata; Mammalia; Artiodactyla; Moschidae. The record is from RNAcentral.